GGGGAGAUAACUGAAAAAAACAAAGUAGAACUCAUGAGCUGAGAUAAAACUAUUUACUAAGACACAGAACAGGAAAAAAUAGUCCUGACUUACAGCCCAGAAAGCCAACUGGGUUCUGGGCUGCAUUAAAAAAGGGGUGGCCAGCAGGGACAGGGAGGUGAUUUUUCCCCUCUACUCAACUCUUGUGAGGACCUAUCUGGGGGGUACUGCGUCCAGGCCUGAGGCCCCCAGUACAGGAAGGACGUGGAGCUCUUAGAGCAGGUCCAGAGGAGGGCCACUAGGAUGAUCAGAGGGCUGGAGCAGCUCUCCUAUGAGGAAAGGUUGAGGGAACUGGGAUUGUUUAGCUUGGGGAAGAGAAGCCUCUGGGGAGACCUCAUUGCGGCCUUCCAGUACUUGAAGGGAGCAUAUAAACAGGAGGGAGAACAGUUGUUUACGAGGGUCGACAGUGAUAGGAUAAGAGGAAAUGAAGUUUUUCACUCAGAGGGUGAUGUCACACUGGAACAGGUUGCCCAGAGAGGUUGUGGAUGCCCCAUCCCUGGAGGCAUUCAAGGCCAGGCUGGAUGUGGUUCUGGGCAGUCUUGUCUAGUGGUUGGCGACCCUGCACAUAGCAGGGGGGUUGAAACUAGAUGUCAUUGUGGUCCUUUUCAACCCAGGCUAUUCUAUGAUUCUAUGAUUCUGUGAUUCUGCAGAAGCG
RNAcentral lists this long non-coding RNA (694 nucleotides) under Gallus gallus (chicken). Its description in RNAcentral is "lncRNA (ENSGALG00010006164.1)". The record is from RNAcentral. Lineage: Eukaryota; Metazoa; Chordata; Aves; Galliformes; Phasianidae.